GCAUAUCAAUAAGCGGAGGAAAAGAAACCAACAGGGAUUGCCCUAGUAACGGCGAGUGAAGCGGCAACAGCUCAAAUUUGAAAUCUGGCUUUCGGGCCCGAGUUGUAAUUUGUAGAGGAUGAUUUUGAUGCGGUGCCUUCCGAGUUCCCUGGAACGGGACGCCAUAGAGGGUGAGAGCCCCGUCUGGUUGGAUGCCAAAUCUCUGUAAAUCUCCUUCGACGAGUCGAGUAGUUUGGGAAUGCUGCUCUAAAUGGGAGGUAUAUGUCUUCUAAAGCUAAAUACCGGCCAGAGACCGAUAGCGCACAAGUAGAGUGAUCGAAAGAUGAAAAGCACUUUGAAAAGAGAGUUAAAAAGUACGUGAAAUUGUUGAAAGGGAAGCGUUUAUGACCAGACUUGGGCUUGGUUAAUCAUCUGGGGUUCUCUCCAGUGCACUUUUCCAGUCCAGGCCAGCAUCAGUUUUCGCCGGGGGAUAAAGGCUUCGGGAAUGUGGCUCCCCUCGGGGAGUGUUAUAGCCCGUUGUGUAAUACCCUGGUGGGGACUGAGGUUCGCGCUUCUGCAAGGAUGCUGGCGUAAUGGUCAUCAACGACCCGUCUUGAAACACGGACCAAGGAGUCGUCUUCGUAUGCGAGUGUUCGGGUGUCAAACCCCUACGCGUAAUGAAAGUGAACGCAGGUGAGAGCUUCGGCGCAUCAUCGACCGAUCCUGAUGUUCUCGGAUGGAUUUGAGUAAGAGCAUACGGGGCCGGACCCGAAAGAAGGUGAACUAUGCCUGUGUAGGGUGAAGCCAGAGGAAACUCUGGUGGAGGCUCGCAGCGGUUCUGACGUGCAAAUCGAUCGUCAAACAUGGGCAUGGGGGCGAAAGACUAAUCGAACCUUCUAGUAGCUGGUUUCCGCGA
Molecule: ribosomal RNA, 895 nt
Filed under: Fusarium graminearum
Lineage: Eukaryota; Fungi; Ascomycota; Sordariomycetes; Hypocreales; Nectriaceae
Also listed under: 1 other name
Description: LSU rRNA
Rfam family: Eukaryotic large subunit ribosomal RNA
Source: RNAcentral